This 346-nucleotide long non-coding RNA is filed under the name Capra hircus (goat). RNAcentral describes it as "lncRNA (ENSCHIG00000002754.1)". Lineage: Eukaryota; Metazoa; Chordata; Mammalia; Artiodactyla; Bovidae. The record is from RNAcentral.
GACAUCGUGCAUUCUUGUGAGCCAAUAGGGGGAGCUCUCACAUAGCUUUUUUUUUUUUUUUUUUUAACAUAUCCCGCAAAUAACAGAAAUUACUGGAUCUUAACUGCAAAAUUGGGAUGGAUUAUUCAAUUACAAUCAGACUCCAGUGCCAGAUGAAGUUAAGGUCUCCAUUUGAUUUGUAUUCAAACUUAUAAGAGUUAAAAGCAGCAGGAAAGGCUUACGGAGAUUAAAAAGCAAGAAACCAUUUCGUUAGGUCUGUGCUUCUGUGGGUUGAACUUGCUACACACACAAACUGACAUGUGCACUUAAAUUAUUAUCGUUCAAUUAUGUAUUUCAGGGGUUGGCA